RNAcentral lists this ribosomal RNA (407 nucleotides) under uncultured bacterium. RNAcentral's name for it is "partial 16S ribosomal RNA". It matches the Rfam family "Bacterial small subunit ribosomal RNA", at positions 29 to 526 of the family's 1533-position model. The record is from RNAcentral.
AUUGAACGCUGGCGGCAGGCCUAACACAUGCAAGUCGAGCGGAGCGGCGGACGGGUGAGUAAUGCCUAGGAAUCUGCCUGGUAGUGGGGGAUAACGUCCGGAAACGGGCGCUAAUACCGCAUACUAUCAGAUGAGCCUAGGUCGGAUUAGCUAGUUGGUGGGGGAAAGGCCUACCAAGGCGACGAUCCGGAACUGGUCUGAGAGGAUGAUCAGUCACACUGGAACUGAGACACGGGCCCGACUCCUACGGGAGGCAGAAGUGGGGAAUAUUGGUAAAUGGGGGAGUGCCUGACGAAGCAACGCCGCGUGAGUGAUGACGGCCUUCGGGUUGUAAAGGUGGUUAAUCUGGACGACGGUACUGGAAUAGAAAGCCACGGCUAACUACGUGCCAGCAGCCGCGGUAAUUC